This 253-nucleotide ribosomal RNA is filed under the name uncultured bacterium. RNAcentral's name for it is "partial 16S ribosomal RNA". It matches the Rfam family "Bacterial small subunit ribosomal RNA", at positions 524 to 776 of the family's 1533-position model. The record is from RNAcentral.
UACGGAGGAUGCAAGCGUUAUCCGGAAUGAUUGGGCGUAAAGCGUCCGCAGGUGGCUGGGUAAGUCUGCUGUUAAAGAGUGAGGCUCAACCUCAUAAAGGCAGUGGAAACUACAUGGCUAGAGUGCGUUCGGGGCAGAGGGAAUUCCUGGUGUAGCGGUGAAAUGCGUAGAGAUCAGGAAGAACACCGGUGGCGAAAGCGCUCUGCUAGGCCGCAACUGACACUGAGGGACGAAAGCUAGGGGAGCGAAUGGG